GUGUUCACUUCAGCAGCACAUAUACUAUAAUUGGAAUGAUACAAAAAAGAUUAGCAUGGCUUGGUGCAAGGAUGACAUACUAAUUCAUGAAGCAUUCAUAUAUAUA
Small nuclear RNA from Erinaceus europaeus (western European hedgehog), 106 nucleotides. NCBI's taxonomy places the organism in Eukaryota, Metazoa, Chordata, Mammalia, Eulipotyphla, Erinaceidae. The record is from Ensembl.